UGUUGAAUCAGGAUGGGAUUUCAGCACAAGAUGGAUGAGCUCAAGCAUUCAUCCAUUGUUGCUAAUACAUGGUAGAAGAUGAUACAAAUUGAUUACAUGUUGUCUCUUCAUUGCCUUUCAUUUGGUUUCACCUUUGCUGAAUUUGAAAGUGGUGUCUAUAUUCUUUUUUCAUUAACCCUUUAUUCUGAAAGAAUUUCAGAGAUCUAUAUUGAAACCAAAAAGUAUUCAGAAGUCUUUGAACUUAGUAUGCAAUAAGGUAUACUACUAGCACAUAAAACAAAUUUUGAAUAAUUGUGUAUAAAAUUCUCAGUACUUCAACUGAGUUAUUUCACAUUGCCUGCAAUAUAAUCUUUAUGCAAUAGUUAUAGUAGAUUUGGAGUUAAGGAAGUUGAUAUCUUAUUACAAGUAUGCUUUUUUGGUAAUAUACUGCUUCCAUAUUAUAAUAAUAUUCAUAUUUG
Molecule: long non-coding RNA, 458 nt
Organism: Vicia villosa (hairy vetch)
Lineage: Eukaryota; Viridiplantae; Streptophyta; Magnoliopsida; Fabales; Fabaceae
Exons: 3
Source: RefSeq, a predicted model, not a curated record